RNAcentral lists this ribosomal RNA (1356 nucleotides) under uncultured bacterium. RNAcentral describes it as "bacterial SSU rRNA". It matches the Rfam family "Bacterial small subunit ribosomal RNA", at positions 18 to 1395 of the family's 1533-position model. The record is from RNAcentral.
CCUGGCUCACGACGAACGCUGGCGGCGCGCCUAACACAUGCAAGUCGAACGAGCGAGAGAGAGCUUGCUUUCUCGAGCGAGUGGCGAACGGGUGAGUAACGCGUGAGGAACCUGCCUCAAAGAGGGGGACAACAGUUGGAAACGACUGCUAAUACCGCAUAAGCCCACGGGUCGGCAUCGACCAGAGGGAAAAGGAGCAAUCCGCUUUGAGAUGGCCUCGCGUCCGAUUAGCUAGUUGGUGAGGUAAUGGCCCACCAAGGCGACGAUCGGUAGCCGGACUGAGAGGUUGAACGGCCACAUUGGGACUGAGACACGGCCCAGACUCCUACGGGAGGCAGCAGUGGGGAAUAUUGCACAAUGGGGGAAACCCUGAUGCAGCGACGCCGCGUGGAGGAAGAAGGUCUUCGGAUUGUAAACUCCUGUUGUUGGGGAAGAUAAUGACGGUACCCAACAAGGAAGUGACGGCUAACUACGUGCCAGCAGCCGCGGUAAAACGUAGGUCACAAGCGUUGUCCGGAAUUACUGGGUGUAAAGGGAGCGCAGGCGGGAAGACAAGUUGGAAGUGAAAUCUAUGGGCUCAACCCAUAAACUGCUUUCAAAACUGUUUUUCUUGAGUAGUGCAGAGGUAGGCGGAAUUCCCGGUGUAGCGGUGGAAUGCGUAGAUAUCGGGAGGAACACCAGUGGCGAAGGCGGCCUACUGGGCACCAACUGACGCUGAGGCUCGAAAGUGUGGGUAGCAAACAGGAUUAGAUACCCUGGUAGUCCACACCGUAAACGAUGAUUACUAGGUGUUGGAGGAUUGACCCCUUCAGUGCCGCAGUUAACACAAUAAGUAAUCCACCUGGGGAGUACGACCGCAAGGUUGAAACUCAAAGGAAUUGACGGGGGCCCGCACAAGCAGUGGAGUAUGUGGUUUAAUUCGACGCAACGCGAAGAACCUUACCAAGUCUUGACAUCCCUUGACAGGCAUAGAAAUAUGUUUUCUCUUCGGAGCAAGGAGACAGGUGGUGCAUGGUUGUCGUCAGCUCGUGUCGUGAGAUGUUGGGUUAAGUCCCGCAACGAGCGCAACCCUUAUGGUCAGUUACUACGCAAGAGGACUCUGGCCAGACUGCCGUUGACAAAACGGAGGAAGGUGGGGAUGACGUCAAAUCAUCAUGCCCUUUAUGACUUGGGCUACACACGUACUACAAUGGCGUUAAACAAAGAGAAGCAAGACCGCGAGGUGGAGCAAAACUCAGAAACAACGUCCCAGUUCGGACUGCAGGCUGCAACUCGCCUGCACGAAGUCGGAAUUGCUAGUAAUCGUGGAUCAGCAUGCCACGGUGAAUACGUUCCCGGGCCUUGUACACACCGCCC